CAAUAGCGUAUAUUAAAGUUGUUGCAGUUAAAAAGCUCGUAGUUGGAUUUCUGGUCGGAAGCUCCUGUCCUCUGAUGAGCGUACAAGUGCGUCCUACCAUCCUUCUGUUAACCUUUAAGGCUUUCGCGGCUUUCUAGGGGCUCAGAUAUUUUACCUUGAGAAAAUUAGAGUGUUUCAGGCAGGCUAGCGCCGGAAUACAUUAGCGUGGAAUAAUGGAAUAGGACUUUUGCCUCUUCUGUUGGUCAUGAGGCUCGAGUAAUGAUUAAUAGGGAUAGUUGGGGGCAUUAGUACUUAACUGUCAGAGGUGAAAUUCUCGGAUUUGUUAAAGACUAACUUAUGCGAAAGCAUUUGCCAAGGAUGUUUUCAUUAA
Molecule: ribosomal RNA, 370 nt
Filed under: uncultured eukaryote
Lineage: Eukaryota
Description: partial 18S ribosomal RNA
Rfam family: Eukaryotic small subunit ribosomal RNA
Source: RNAcentral